AGUGAACGCUGGCGGUAGGCCUAACACAUGCAAGUCGAACGGCAGCACAGUAAGAGCUUGCUCUUACGGGUGGCGAGUGGCGGACGGGUGGGGAAUCCAUCGGAAUCUACUUUUUCGUGGGGGAUAACGUAGGGAAACUUACGCUAAUACCGCAUACGACCUACGGGUGAAAGCAGGGGAUCUUCGGACCUUGCGCGAUUGAAUGAGCCGAUGUCGGAUUAGCUAGUUGGCGGGGUAAAGGCCCACCAAGGCGACGAUCCGUAGCUGGUCUGAGAGGAUGAUCAGCCACACUGGAACUGAGACACGGUCCAGACUCCUACGGGAGGCAGCAGUGGGGAAUAUUGGACAAUGGGCGCAAGCCUGAUCCAGCCAUACCGCGUGGGUGAAGAAGGCCUUCGGGUUGUAAAGCCCUUUUGUUGGGAAAGAAAAGCAGCAGGUUAAUACCCCGCUGUUCUGACGGUACCCAAAGAAUAAGCACCGGCUAACUUCGUG
RNAcentral lists this ribosomal RNA (492 nucleotides) under uncultured bacterium. RNAcentral's name for it is "partial 16S ribosomal RNA". It matches the Rfam family "Bacterial small subunit ribosomal RNA", at positions 29 to 507 of the family's 1533-position model. The record is from RNAcentral.